CUCUGCCUCCCUCUCCCUCUCCCCCUCUCUCCCUCUCCCUCUCUCUCCCGUCAGUGUUUCUCUGCUCUUUGAGGUCUUUUGGACUAUUGAUUACUUCAGAAGUUUGAAUGUAAAAUAUUUUCUAAAUGAUUCCUGAAGCGUUGGGACCAAACUUUCCACACCUCUGUGUCUGUGAUUCUGAGGAGGCAUUCUACUAAACUAACCAGUAUUGAACAGUUAUACAGUAGUCGGUAACGUGCUAGAAAACUGUCCUGAUUCAAGUAGUAAAAUCAAUCAAUCUAACUAAAGUGAACUAGACACCCAGCCCCCUGUCUGAGACUGAUGUCAGUCUUAGACAGGGGGUCAAAGUCAUGCUUGCUUCCCGGUGUCAGAAGGGCUUGUAUAUGUUUUAGCACACUGUGUAUCCCCUCUGGCCCUAGAGCUAGGAGGGCCAGAAUGAGAAUAUUUACGAGAUCCCGAGGAAUUGAGCAAAAACGGAUCCACUUCUGGCAUAAGAAUGUAUGUGACUUUGUAGCAGGUUGGCAUUUAUUGUCAUUAGUCUUGCUCUGGAGGCAGCACUGCAGAGUGGUCACUAGCUGGCACAGCCACAAGCAGGUUGACGUUUAUUGUCAUGUUUCUUGUCCUGGAGGCAGCACUGAGUGAUUUCCUCUUAGGUAUGCCAGCUGCAAAGUCAGGUUUAAAAUCCAGAACAAGAUUCAUGACGAAAAACACUAACCUGCCAGCCACAAAGUCAUAAAAUCUGAUUUCAAACCUAACCCUAACCUUAACCCUAACCUUAACAACACUGCUAACCCUAAUGCAUAACCCUAACAUUAAAUUAUGACCAAAAAGCUAUUUUUUGUUUUCAUUAAUUUUUACAAUAUUGCCAAUUUUGACUGACCCUUCUAGCGGAAAUCGCUCAGUUCUGCCUCCAGGGCAAGAUUCAUGACAAUAAACGUAAGCCUGUGACAUGGUUCCACUGCCCACUUAUCCAGUGGCCAGUAGAGAGAACAGCUUCUCUCAGACAUAGUGGUUCUGUACAUAACAAGGGCAUGCAAUGACAGAUCCUAAAUUAUGCCAUUUACAUAUCAAAAAGGUAAAAAAAUGAAAAAAUAGAUUUACAAAAAUAAAUGUUUUUAAAAUGAUGAUUAUGUUAUGGCAUAUACAGUACCAAUAUGGAGAAGAAAAAAGUGUUAGAUUGAAUGUGAGAGUGUAUGUUACUAUUCAAAUGUCUAGUAAUUCUAUUACAAAAAAAUCAUUAUACGUUAUAAAUACAAAAAUACAUUAAAAAUAUUAUCGUGCCAAAGGGUGAUGGCUUGGGAGGGAGGGUAGCUUGUUGGGAAAUAAGUGGUUUCGUAAAAGUCAACUGUUUUUAUUGUUUUGGAUAUUUUCUAUAUAAAUAUAUUCCAGAUUUUCAAACGUAAAGCAAUACUACCCAUACCCAUUACAUACACAUACAGGACACAUACAUGACCCAUACAGGACACACAUCUGUACUGGGUGCAAGUCACGCUUUAGAUGUUGUAGUCUGGAAUCUGGAGUCUGACCUCAGUCUGUGUCAUAGCUAUACACACCCCUCUCCCUUCUAAAUAAAACCAUCUAAGAAACCAUUCAUCCCAGAACAGUGCCAUUGACCUAUGACCUUUAAACAAUGUUGAGAUAGAGAUAACUUUGUUGUGGCUAUGGAGUGUAAUUUACCUGUGUUUAUGAUGAGAUAGCACAGUAGUGUGAAGCAGCUUGUUCUGUGUGUGUGUGUGUGUGUGUGUGUGUGUGUGUGUGUGUGUGUGUGUGUGUGUGUGUGUGUGUGUGUGUGUGUGUGUGUGUGUGUGUGUGUGUGUGUGUGUGUGUGUGUGGUUAAGCCAGUGUAUAUCUAUGUGAUGACGGUAUGUAGCAGCAGGUUGACUCAGCACUUUGACUCCAUGUUGCCCCCCUGGGCUGCUCUGAGGUACUCUACCCUGCUGCCUUGGCAGAAACACAGGAUCCACAGUAACUCCUCAUAUUCCAUUCUAUUGUUUCUAGGGCUGAUUCCUAUAAACAAUACUACGAUCAACCCUAGAAAUGCUAAACUGAUCUGAGGAAAACUGACCUGAGCUCAUAUUUGUGAAAGUAAAAAGGCACACACAUCAGCUAGGGCUGGAGGUUUCCACGGUGAGACAGACAGAACACAGGUCCUCCUCCUACAGGGCUGGAGGUUUCCACGGUGAGACAGACAGAACACAGGUCCUCCUCCUACAGGGCUGGAGGUUUCCACGGUGAGACAGACAGAACACAGGUCCUCCUCCUACAGGGCUGGAGGUUUCCACGGUGAGACAGACAGAACACAGGUCCUCCUCCUACAGGGCUGGAGGUUUCCACGGUGAGACAGACAGAACACAGGUCCUCCUCCUACAGGGCUGGAGGUUUCCACGGUGAGACAGACAGAACACAGGUCCUCGUCCUACAGGGCUGUGUCCUAACUUGUGAUACUUGUGUCUUAUUUGGACUUUUGCUCAAAUCAUCCGAUGAUUGGGAGCUUUGCAUGACAUAUCGAGACUCUGGGAAGUGAGUAUUCAGUCUGCUCUAGCUAAACACUGUUUAGAUUAGUUUACCCAAACCAUGUUUACUGUAAAACAUAGAGAAACUGGAGGUUCAUUCAAAUACAUGAGUUACAGAGAGCUGUUCUAGAUGCUGGAUAUCUGAGAUAUUGUCAACCCUAUUUUUCUAUGUAUGUCGAAGCUGCUGAAUUGAAUGUUGAUUUUGCAUUAAUUUUUUUCAGUACAGUGUCCAUGUUUUGACAUGUAUAUGAUGUGGCUAUGUGCUCAAGUUCACUCCAUGGGCUGAAACUUGUGAACUAAAUUGUAUUUGAGCAUGUUUUUUUUCUCUGUACGAUAGCCUAUUUAGAGAACAAUCUUAUCAGAGUCAACAUCAUUGUGCAAUUUAAGCUACUUUUGGGACAAAAUACUUGUUUAAGGUUUAUGACAUGGUACACUGUACUAUUUAUUCUUUAAAUGAAUACAAAUCGAAGAAUUUGAGAAACAAUUUAAAUUCCUAAAUUAUUAUAUGUCUUUCUGCUCCCAUAAUCAAGACGAAGACGAUGAUUCUAAUGAGAUUCUAUGUAUGGGGAAAAUACAGUCCUUUCAUUGAUGAGAUUCUAUUUUCAUUAGAUGUCAAUAAGAUGAUGAAUGUUGCCUAGAAUUACAGUGAUGUUUACAUUCGUACUGCUCACUUGAGAUUAUCCAGUUUAUGUUGUUGAAUUACGUUGUGAUGAUUAUUUAACAACCUUAUCAGCAUAUGUUUGUGCUAGCUUUGUGAUUUCAUGAUAAAUGGUGAUGAACUAUGUAGAAUUCCAAUAGAUAAAGACAAGGCAGCUCAAUAAUUCAUGUGUGUAUAUGGAAUGCAUGCGAGUGAAUUGCUAUCUGCAGUAUUCCUAAUUUGACAGCGCAUUUUUUAAAUGCAGCACUAUGGUCUGUGCAUUUCUACCCUGUCAAGAUGUCACCCAUAGUCGUUCACUGACAGAGAGCUAAGAUGAGAGGAGAGAUGCACACUGACACUGUCCACACUCCACAGACCGUUCUCAUGGUUUCAUUCAUACCAACCAGAGCCAUGUAUUUAGAGAGGUUUCUGCAUUAUGACGCAUUUACAUGACACUUCACCAUUCUAUGGCAGCCAUGUUAGCUCCCCAUUAACAUUACAUGGGGAAUAUUUAAAUGUUGCUAUGUAACUGUAUGUCUAGAAUUAGAACAAUAUUCAAAAUUCUAAAAGUUGGCCCAACUUUCUAAAUCUAUGGCUCUGAUACCAACCUCCUUCACUCAGUGCCAACUCUAUAGAACUCUAUAGAACUCUAUAGCCAACUCUAUAGAACCUCUACAGACCAUGUCUACUGCUGAGACAGAAUCUGAUAACCAACCGUGUCUGUUGCUCUCCUAGCUUAGUGGGCUUUGGGUUCGGUUUCAGGUUUAGCUGCUUUCUCUGGCGUGAAGAAGCGUAGAAUGUAACAUGAUGCUAUCGAUGUGAUAUUGGAAAUGGUUUCUGUUGAUAUUUGAUGAAAUAUUUAGUAGUUUCAUUCAGCUUUGUAAAACGUGAGAAUAUAUGGUAACAGCUGUUUAGAAACAUGUUUACUUUUGGAGGAGUAGGAGUGUGGAGUCUAGCCUACAGAGCAGUGUUUCCCAAACGGUGCGUCGGGGCCCUCUGGUGGGUCGCAGCCAGUUACUCUUGGUCCCAGCUGGGCAUAGGUGGGUCACAAAGGUUUGGGAUCCACUGGCCUGUGGUAUGUAAGGUAGGAAACGUGGUGAGUUUUUGCUUUCAUUUUCUUGCCAUUUCUGAAUCAUUGUGUAAACGUACUGCAGAAUACCUUUUGAAUCAUUAUUAAAAACCUGGAAUGUA
Long non-coding RNA from Coregonus clupeaformis (lake whitefish), 4341 nucleotides. RefSeq lists it as uncharacterized. The record is from RefSeq and is a predicted model, not a curated record. Lineage: Eukaryota; Metazoa; Chordata; Actinopteri; Salmoniformes; Salmonidae. The transcript has 2 exons.